Molecule: ribosomal RNA, 207 nt
Filed under: uncultured bacterium
Lineage: Bacteria
Description: partial 16S ribosomal RNA
Rfam family: Bacterial small subunit ribosomal RNA
Source: RNAcentral
CGCGUAGGCGGCCUGGUCAGUCGGAUGUGAAAGCCCCGGGCUUAACCUGGGAAUUGCAUUCGAUACUGCCAGGCUGGAGUGUAGUAGAGGGAAGCGGAAUUCCGGGUGUAGCGGUGAAAUGCGUAGAGAUCCGGAGGAACAUCAGUGGCGAAGGCGGCUUCCUGGACUAACACUGACGCUGAGGUGCGAAAGCGUGGGGAGCAAACA